AUGGGUCGCGUGAUCCGCGCUCAGCGUAAGGGUGCGGGCUCCGUCUUCAAGUCCCACACCCACCACCGCAAGGGCCCCGCCCGGUUCAGGUCGCUCGACUUCGGCGAGCGCAACGGGUACCUCAAGGGCGUCGUCACCGAUGUCAUCCACGACCCGGGGCGUGGUGCGCCGCUGGCCAAGGUGACCUUCCGCCACCCGUUCAGGUACAAGCACCAGAAGGAGCUCUUCGUCGCCGCCGAGGGUAUGUACACCGGCCAGUUCGUCUACUGCGGACGCCGCGCCACCCUCUCCGUCGGCAACGUCCUCCCGCUCCGCUCCGUUCCUGAGGGAGGCGUCAUCUGCAACGUCGAGCACCACGUCGGCGACCGCGGUGUCUUCGCCAGGGCAUCCGGUGACUACGCCAUCGUCAUCAGCCACAACCCCGACAACGGCACCUCAAGGAUCAAGCUCCCCUCUGGUGCCAAGAAGAUUGUCCCAAGCAGCUGCCGUGCCAUGAUUGGUCAGGUUGCUGGUGGUGGCAGGACUGAGAAGCCAAUGCUCAAGGCUGGUAACGCCUACCACAAGUACCGUGUGAAGAGGAACUCGUGGCCUAAGGUGCGUGGUGUGGCCAUGAACCCUGUGGAGCAUCCCCACGGAGGAGGUAACCACCAGCAUAUUGGUCACGCUUCCACUGUCCGCCGUGAUGCACCACCUGGCCAGAAGGUUGGUCUCAUCGCUGCUAGGAGGACUGGUCGUCUCAGAGGCCAGGCUGCCGCCUCUGCUGCCAAGGCCGACAAGGCCACUUAG
This 786-nucleotide ribosomal RNA is filed under the name Triticum aestivum (bread wheat). Its description in RNAcentral is "partial small subunit ribosomal RNA". The record is from RNAcentral. Lineage: Eukaryota; Viridiplantae; Streptophyta; Magnoliopsida; Poales; Poaceae.